UGCUACAAUGGCGAGUACAAUAGGCAGCCGAGCCGCGAGGCCUAGCUAAUCCCCAAAGCUCGUCUUAGUCCGAAUUGCAGUCUGCAACUCGACUGCAUGAAGUCGGAAUCGCUAGUAAUCGCAGAUCAGCAAUGCUGCGGUGAAUACGUUCCCGGGCCUUGUACACACCGCCCGUCACACCAUGGAAGUCGGCUGCACCAGAAGAGGCUAGUCCAACCCCCAGCUUCGGCUAGGGGAAGACGGUCUCCACGGUGUGGUCGAUGACUGGGGUGAAGUCGUAACAAGGUAA
Molecule: ribosomal RNA, 289 nt
Filed under: uncultured Gammaproteobacteria bacterium
Lineage: Bacteria; Pseudomonadati; Pseudomonadota; Gammaproteobacteria
Description: partial 16S ribosomal RNA
Rfam family: Bacterial small subunit ribosomal RNA
Source: RNAcentral